Molecule: ribosomal RNA, 933 nt
Filed under: Triticum aestivum (bread wheat)
Lineage: Eukaryota; Viridiplantae; Streptophyta; Magnoliopsida; Poales; Poaceae
Description: partial small subunit ribosomal RNA
Source: RNAcentral
AUGGCCCUCCUCGCCGCGGCCCGCCGGGCCUCCUCCCUAUCCAUCAUCCGAGGGGCCUCCACGCUUCUCCGCCCCACGUCCUCGUCGGCGACGGCGAUCAGGUGGAGCUCGUCCUCCUCCCUCGACGCCGCAGUCUCCUCCUUCGAGUCCUCCGGCGCCUCCCUCAUCGCCGCACUGGACUCUUACCGUCACAGCACCGUGACCGAGGAGUCCGCCCGUACCGUGUUGGGCCCCCUCCGUGCCUUCUUGACCGAGACCGAAUCCCUGAGCGCCACCAUGUUCGACCUUGAGCUCCUCGGCGCCAUCGACUCCGCGAUCAAGUCCCGCAACAAGGACGGCGAGGCCCCCACCGAGCUCCAGUGUCUCCUCGCUAAGAUAGAGGAGACCGGGGAUUACUUUCCCUUUGAAAUCUCUGAAAAUAAGUGUCGUGUCAGCAUUACACUUACAAGAACUUUAAAGGGUGAGAAGAUUGAGGUUGUGGCAUCAAAGCCCUGCUUGGACGAUGGCGACGACGACAAUAACUCCUCAUGCACCUCGCAUGAGGAUGUAGAAUCGUCUUCAGCGUCCUCGAACGAGAAUCUAGAAGAAGACGGUGGCCAGAAGAACAAAUUAAGAUCUAGCAUCAACCUAGAGGUCACCAUCUCCAAGGGCGAUGGCUCAAAGCUUGCGUUCACCUGCUUCGCGUAUCCCGACAAUAUAACCAUCCAUUCCAUGUGCAUGUUGUCGCGGACAGCUAAAGAUGAUGUUCAGGCUACAUAUUACGAUUUCGAUAAGCUUGAAGAGAACCUGCAGAAGUCAUUCGUGAAGUAUCUGGACCUGCGCGGGGUCACGCCAACGACGACAAACUUGUUGCGUGUGUACUUGAGCAGCAAGGUCCAGUCCAAGGAUCUGCUGAUGCUGACCAAGCUGCAGGAUUUCAUCAAGAAAGACUGA